AGGGAUAUAACUGAGAGGUAAAGUGUCACCUUGUCGUGGUGGAAGUCAUCAGUUUGAGCCUGAUUAUCCCUA
Molecule: transfer RNA, 72 nt
Filed under: Vitis vinifera (wine grape)
Lineage: Eukaryota; Viridiplantae; Streptophyta; Magnoliopsida; Vitales; Vitaceae
Rfam family: tRNA
About the family: Transfer RNA (tRNA) molecules are approximately 80 nucleotides in length. Their secondary structure includes four short double-helical elements and three loops (D, anti-codon, and T loops).
Source: Rfam by way of RNAcentral